GACGAACGCUGGCGGCGUGCUUAACACAUGCAAGUCGAACGGAAAGGCCCCUUUGGGGGUACUCGAGUGGCGAACGGGUGAGUAACACGUGAGUAACCUGCCCUUGACUUCGGGAUAACUUCAGGAAACUGGGGCUAAUACCGGAUAGGAAUCCUUGCUGCAUGGUGGGGGUUGGAAAGCUUCGGCGGUUUUGGAUGGACUCGCGGCUUAUCAGCUUGUUGGUGGGGUAGUGGCUUACCAAGGCUUUGACGGGUAGCCGGCCUGAGAGGGCGACCGGCCACAUUGGGACUGAGAUACGGCCCAGACUCCUACGGGAGGCAGCAGUGGGGAAUAUUGCAAAAUGGGCGGAAGCCUGAUGCAGCAACGCCGCGGGCGGGAUGACGGCCUUCGGGUUGUAAACCGCUUUCAGCAGGGGCGAAGCUUGUGGUGACGGUACCUGCAGAAGAAGCACCGGCUAACUACGUG
Molecule: ribosomal RNA, 465 nt
Filed under: uncultured bacterium
Lineage: Bacteria
Description: partial 16S ribosomal RNA
Rfam family: Bacterial small subunit ribosomal RNA
Source: RNAcentral